RNAcentral lists this ribosomal RNA (253 nucleotides) under uncultured bacterium. RNAcentral describes it as "partial 16S ribosomal RNA". It matches the Rfam family "Bacterial small subunit ribosomal RNA", at positions 524 to 776 of the family's 1533-position model. The record is from RNAcentral.
UACAGAGGGUGCGAGCGUUAAUCGGAAUUACUGGGCGUAAAGCGUGCGUAGACGGUUAUUUAAGUCAGAUGUGAAAGCCCCGGGCUCAACCUGGGAAUUGCAUUUGAGACUGAAUAGCUAGGGUACGGUAGAGGGAAGCGGAAUUUCCGGUGUAGCGGUGAAAUGCGUAGAUAUCGGAAGGAACAUCAGUGGCGAAAGCGGCUUCCUGGACCAGUACCGACGUUCAGGCACGAAAGCGUGGGGAGCGAACAGG